CGGACGGGUGGGUAACGCGUGGGUAACCUGCCUUAUACAGGGGGAUAACAGUCAGAAAUGGCUGCUAAUACCGCAUAAGCGCACAGGGCCGCAUGGCCUGGUGUGAAAAACUGAGGUGGUAUAAGAUGGACCCGCGUUGGAUUAGCCAGUUGGCAGGGUAACGGCCUACCAAAGCGACGAUCCAUAGCCGGCCUGAGAGGGUGACCGGCCACAUUGGGACUGAGACACGGCCCAA
RNAcentral lists this ribosomal RNA (235 nucleotides) under uncultured bacterium. RNAcentral describes it as "partial 16S ribosomal RNA". It matches the Rfam family "Bacterial small subunit ribosomal RNA", at positions 99 to 334 of the family's 1533-position model. The record is from RNAcentral.